This 403-nucleotide ribosomal RNA is filed under the name Verrucomicrobiota bacterium. RNAcentral describes it as "Verrucomicrobia bacterium partial 16S ribosomal RNA". It matches the Rfam family "Bacterial small subunit ribosomal RNA", at positions 355 to 776 of the family's 1533-position model. The record is from RNAcentral. Lineage: Bacteria; Pseudomonadati; Verrucomicrobiota.
UGGGGAAUAUUGCACAAUGGGCGCAAGCCUGAUGCAGCAACGCCGCGUGAACGAUGAAGGUCUUCGGAUCGUAAAGUUCUGUUGCAGGGGAAGAUAAUGACGGUACCCUGUGAGGAAGCCCCGGCUAACUACGUGCCAGCAGCCGCGGUAAUACGUAAGGUCCGAGCGUUGUCCGGAAUCAUUGGGCGUAAAGGGUACGUAGGCGGGUAAGCAAGUUAGAAGUGAAAUCCUGUAGCUCAACUACAGUAAGCUUUUAAAACUGCUCAUCUUGAGAUAUGGAAGGGAAAGUGGAAUUCCUAGUGUAGCGGUGAAAUGCGCAGAUAUUAGGAGGAAUACCGGUGGCGAAGCCGACUUUCUGGCCAUAAUCUGACGCUGAGGUACGAAAGCGUGGGUAGCAAACAGG